AUUGAACGCUGGCGGCAUGCCUUACACAUGCAAGUCGAACGGCAGCACGGGUGCUUGCACCUGGUGGCGAGUGGCGAACGGGUGAGUAAUACAUCGGAACAUACCUUAUCGUGGGGGAUAACGCAGCGAAAGCUGUGCUAAUACCGCAUACGCCCUGAGGGGGAAAGCGGGGGAUCGCAAGACCUCGCGCGAUUAGAGCGGCCGAUGCCUGAUUAGCUUGUUGGUGGGGUAAAAGCCCACCAAGGCGACGAUCAGUAGCUGGUCUGAGAGGACGAUCAGCCACACUGGGACUGAGACACGGCCCAGACUCCUACGGGAGGCAGCAGUGGGGAAUUUUGGACAAUGGGGGCAACCCUGAUCCAGCAAUGCCGCGUGAGAGAAGAAGGCCUUCGGGUUGUAAAGCUCUUUUGUCAGGGAAGAAACACCGGCUCUAACACAGUCCGGGAAUGACGGUACCUGAAGAAUAAGCACCGGCUAACUACGUGCCAGCCGCCGCCGUAA
This 501-nucleotide ribosomal RNA is filed under the name uncultured bacterium. RNAcentral describes it as "partial 16S ribosomal RNA". It matches the Rfam family "Bacterial small subunit ribosomal RNA", at positions 29 to 523 of the family's 1533-position model. The record is from RNAcentral.